Molecule: long non-coding RNA, 200 nt
Organism: Tachyglossus aculeatus (Australian echidna)
Lineage: Eukaryota; Metazoa; Chordata; Mammalia; Monotremata; Tachyglossidae
Exons: 3
Source: RefSeq, a predicted model, not a curated record
CAGAAGAGGCUUCCACUGAAGGCCUACUUCCCGUACGCUCCUCCCUCUCUGAUCGUGGCCCUGGCCCGACACCCCGAAGAUUCAUCGCCCGACCUGUGGGGUGGGCGGGUGAAGAUCAUCGCUGAGAUGCUUGAGGAGACCAUCACAGCCCCCAGGGCCUGGUCUUGUAUGGCAGGAGGAGGAGAAGGAGAAGGAAGAGG